UAAAUUGUGUGUCAGUGAAGCUACCUGU
Molecule: non-coding RNA, 28 nt
Filed under: Cricetulus griseus (Chinese hamster)
Lineage: Eukaryota; Metazoa; Chordata; Mammalia; Rodentia; Cricetidae
Source: RNAcentral